UACGAGAGGCCCAAACGUUAUUCGGAAUUACUGGGCUUAAAGAGUUCGUAGGCGGCUUGAUAAGUAGGGUGUGAAAGCCCUCGGCUCAACCGAGGAAUUGCGCUCUAAACUGUCGUGCUCGAGGAAUCUAGAGGUGAGCGGAACUGAUGGUGGAGCGGUGAAAUGCGUUGAUAUCAUCAGGAACACCGGAGGCGAAGGCGGCUCACUGGGGAUUUUCUGACGCUGAGGAGCGAAAGCCAGGGGAGCGAACGGG
Molecule: ribosomal RNA, 253 nt
Filed under: uncultured bacterium
Lineage: Bacteria
Description: partial 16S ribosomal RNA
Rfam family: Bacterial small subunit ribosomal RNA
Source: RNAcentral